Theobroma cacao (cacao) is the source of this 140-nucleotide non-coding RNA. The record is from RefSeq and is a predicted model, not a curated record. NCBI's taxonomy places the organism in Eukaryota, Viridiplantae, Streptophyta, Magnoliopsida, Malvales, Malvaceae.
GGCUUAACCCAAAUAGGAAAAAUGGAGAAGCCCAUAGAGAAGGCCCAAUGGAAAGUUUGUCGUGGAGGCGUGCCGAACGAAGUAUGUGACCGACAAAUAGGAAUAAUUAUAUACGCGUACGAAUCAAUAGUGAAGUAAUA